This 771-nucleotide ribosomal RNA is filed under the name uncultured fungus. RNAcentral's name for it is "eukaryotic LSU rRNA". The stretch from base 334 to 487 matches the Rfam family "5.8S ribosomal RNA". Lineage: Eukaryota; Fungi. The record is from RNAcentral.
AAGUCGUAACAAGGUUUCCGUANGUGAACCUGCGGAAGGAUCAUUAACGAAUUAGCAAGGAUCUAUGGUUGUAGCUGGCCCUCUUGGGGGUAUGUGCACGCCUGGGUUCGAACUUUUCAUUUUACCACCUGUGCACCUUUUGUGGAAUCGCGAGAUGGGUUAGCAAUAAACCAUUUCAGAGUAACAUCCGGUUUUGAGACUUGCGCCUAAUCCGCGCUUGACUCUAAUUAUUAACAACCUGUUUCGCGGUUUUCACGUCAACUUUACACACUACAAAUACAAUCUAGAAUGCUUCAAAGUUGGGACUUUAGUGACCCUUCUUAAAUUUAAUACAACUUUCAACAACGGAUCUCUUGGCUCUCGCAUCGAUGAAGAACGCAGCGAAAUGCGAUAAGUAAUGUGAAUUGCAGAUUUCAGUGAAUCAUCGAAUCUUUGAACGCACCUUGCGCCUUGUGGUAUUCCACAAGGCAUGCCCGUUUGAGUGUCAUUGAAUCAUCAAACCUACAUCAUUUUUGUUGUUAGGCUUUGGUCUUUGAGGGUUUCUGCGGGCUCUUCACAGAGUCGGCUCCCUUUAAAUUUAUUAGCGAGACUUCCCUCUGCUGACCGUCUCCGGCGUGAUAAUUAUCUGCGUCGAAGUUUGCGGUUCUCGUUGGGCUUGCUUCUAAUCGUCUGUUUUACGGACAACUAGGAUUUGAAAAAGUGCAUAUAUGCGCUAUUUCCUCUUCCGAACUCUUUUGACCUCAAAUCGGGUAGGACUACCCGCUGAACUUA